This 1167-nucleotide long non-coding RNA is filed under the name Anolis carolinensis (green anole). Its description in RNAcentral is "lncRNA (ENSACAG00000044101.1)". Lineage: Eukaryota; Metazoa; Chordata; Lepidosauria; Squamata; Anolidae. The record is from RNAcentral.
AUGUCCUUAAAGGAGAUAGAAGUAGGAGACAGCGGUAAUAAGAUCCUCACGUGUGAAAGUGAGUCUACCAUUAUGGUAGACCAUGUAGGGAGAGGGUAUGUGUCUAGCAGCUGGGGGGCCCCCAUCGAGGUGAUCCAGGGGAGGGGGAGAUACGGGAAAGGGAGGCAUAAUCUAAUUCGGCCUAGGGUGAGCAACAGAGUGCUUGUAGAUUUAAAACGGCCUCCUGACACAGUAAACUUGGGUGCCCAAGUUGGCGGGCCCUCCGAUCUGAAGGUGGUGCUGCUGAACGCCAGGUCUGUCAAUGGUAAAGCUGCAAUCAUCCAGGAUCUUAUCCUGGAUGAGCAGGCAGACCUGGCGUGCAUAACGGAGACCUGGUUGGAUGAGGCUGGGGGGGCCAAUCUCACCCAGCUUUGUCCACCAGGUUAUGCUGUGCAGCAUCAAACAAGAUCUGGAGGGAGGGGAGGAGGGGUUGCAGUGGUCUAUAAGGAGUCCAUCCCCCUGACCAGGUGCCCCAUCCCGCAGUCUACCUUGUUUGAGUGUGCUCAUCUGAGGGUAGGGGGCCGGGACAGUUUAGGGAUUCUGCUAGUGUACCGACCACCCCGCUGCACUACAGUCUCCCUGCCUGAGCUAGCAGGGAUGGUUUCUGGCCUGGCGCUGGAGUCCCAACGGCUCAUUGUGCUGGGGGACUUUAAUGUCCAUGCCGAGACCACUCCUUCUGGUGCAGCUCAGGACUUCAUGGCCACCAUGGCAACCAUGGGGCUGUCCCAACUAGUAUCUGGCCCUACCCACAGAGCAGGGCACACACUUGACUUGAUUUUCUGCCAGGGAGGGGAGGAAGGUGGCGGUGUGGAGGAGCUCACCAUCGCUCCUUUGCCAUGGACCGACCAUCACCUGAUCAGGUUUAGAAUCACUGCGCCCCCCAACCUCCGCAGGGGUGGAGGACCCAAAAUGGUCCGCCCUAGGAGGCUUAUGGAUCCGGAUGGAUUCCUGAUGGCUCUUGGGGAAUUUCCCGCGACCUUGGCUGGUGAUCCUGUCGAUGCUCUGGUCGCCCUCUGGAACAAGGAGGUGACUAGGGCAAUAGACACGAUCGCUCCGGAAUGUCCCCUCUCGAGUACCCGAGCUAAACGAUCUCCUUGGUUCACUGAGGAGCUGGCAGCGAUGAAGUGA